This 324-nucleotide ribosomal RNA is filed under the name uncultured eukaryote. RNAcentral's name for it is "partial 18S ribosomal RNA". It matches the Rfam family "Eukaryotic small subunit ribosomal RNA", at positions 1470 to 1796 of the family's 1831-position model. The record is from RNAcentral.
CCCUUAGAUGUUCUGGGCCGCACGCGCGCUACACUGACGGAGUCAACGAGUUGUCCUGCAUCGGAAGGUGUGGGUAAUCUUUUGAAACUUCGUCGUGCUGGGGAUAGAUCUUUGCAAUUUUCGAUCUUGAACGAGGAAUUCCUAGUAAGCGUGAUUCGUCAGAUCGCGUUGAUUACGUCCCUGCCCUUUGUACACACCGCCCGUCGCUACUACCGAUUGAAUGGUUUAGUGAGGCCUCGGGACUGGCGCGCUCGAGUAGCAAUACACCUGCGCGCCGGGAACUUGGUCAAACUUGAUCAUUUAGAGGAAGUAAAAGUCGUANCA